Molecule: ribosomal RNA, 547 nt
Filed under: uncultured Glomeromycotina
Lineage: Eukaryota; Fungi; Glomeromycota
Description: SSU rRNA
Rfam family: Eukaryotic small subunit ribosomal RNA
Source: RNAcentral
UUGGAGGGCAAGUCUGGUGCCAGCAGCCGCGGUAAUUCCAGCUCCAAUAGCGUAUAUUAAAGUUGUUACAGUUAAAAAGCUCGUAGUUGAAUUUCGGGGUUCUUCCGUUGGUCAGGCUAACAAGUCUGUACUAGCGUGUAGAAUCUCUACCUUCUGGGGAACCAUCAUGUUAUUAAUUUAGCGUGGUGGGAAACCAGGACCUUUACCUUGAAAAAAUUAGAGUGUUCAAAGCAGGCUUACGUCUGAAUACAUUAGCAUGGAAUAAUAAAAUAGGACGGUGGUCCUGUUUUGUUGGUUUCUGAAUCACCGUAAUGAUUAAUAGGGAUAGUUGGGGGCAUUAGUAUUCAAUUGUCAGAGGUGAAAUUCUUGGAUUUAUUGAAGACUAACUUCUGCGAAAGCAUUUGCCAAGGAUGUUUUCAUUAAUCAAGAACGAAAGUUAGGGGAUCGAAGACGAUCAGAUACCGUCGUAGUCUUAACCAUAAACUAUGCCGACUAGGGAUCGGACGAUGUUAAAUUUUAUUGACUCGUUCGGCGCCUUACGGGAAAC